Non-coding RNA from Oesophagostomum dentatum (nodular worm), 71 nucleotides. The record is from the annotation of a GenBank genome assembly. NCBI's taxonomy places the organism in Eukaryota, Metazoa, Nematoda, Chromadorea, Rhabditida, Strongylidae.
AAUGCCAUAGCGCAGUGGUAGUGCUCCAGCCUCUUAUGCCAAAAGACCAGGGUUCGACCCCGGUGGCGAUU